This 388-nucleotide ribosomal RNA is filed under the name uncultured bacterium. RNAcentral describes it as "bacterial SSU rRNA". It matches the Rfam family "Bacterial small subunit ribosomal RNA", at positions 30 to 423 of the family's 1533-position model. The record is from RNAcentral.
AUUGAACGCUGGCGGCAUGCCUUACACAUGCAAGUCGAACGGUAGAGUAGCAAUACUUGAGAGUGGCGAACGGGUGAGUAAUAUAUCGGAACGUGCCCAGUCGUGGGGGGAUAACGUAGCGAAAGCUACGCUAAUACCGCAUACGAUCUAUGGAUGAAAGCGGGGGAUCGCAAGACCUCGCGCGAUUGGAGCGGCCGAUAUCAGAUUAGGUAGUUGGUGAGGUAAAGGCUCACCAAGCCGACGAUCUGUAGCUGGUCUGAGAGGACGACCAGCCACACUGGGACUGAGACACGGCCCAGACUCCUACGGGAGGCAGCAGUGGGGAAUUUUGGACAAUGGGCGCAAGCCUGAUCCAGCAAUGCCGCGUGCAGGAUGAAGGCCUUCGGUU